GAGUUUGAUCAUGGCUCAGGAUGAACGCUAGCGACAGGCUUAACACAUGCAAGUCGAGGGGCAGCGGGGUAGUGCUUGCACUACUGCCGGCGACCGGCGCACGGGUGAGUAACACGUAUGGAACCUGCCCGCAACAGGGGGAUAAGCGGAAGAAAUUCCGUCUAAUACCGCGUAACAUGAGAGGGAGGCAUCUCCCUCUCAUCAAAGAUUCAUCGGUUGCGGAUGGCCAUGCGGCGCAUUAGCUAGUCGGCGGGGUAACGGCCCACCGAGGCGACGAUGCGUAGGGGUUCUGAGAGGAAGGUCCCCCAACUGGUACUGAGACACGGACCAGACUCCUACGGGAGGCAGCAGUGAGGAAUAUUGGUCAAUGGCCGAGAGGCUGAACCAGCCAAGUCGCGUGAGGGAUGACGGCCCUACGGGUUGUAAACCUCU
Molecule: ribosomal RNA, 432 nt
Filed under: uncultured bacterium
Lineage: Bacteria
Description: bacterial SSU rRNA
Rfam family: Bacterial small subunit ribosomal RNA
Source: RNAcentral